UUAAGCGACUAAGCGUACACGGUGGAUGCCCUGGCAGUCAGAGGCGAUGAAGGACGUGCUAAUCUGCGAAAAGCGUCGGUAAGGUGAUAUGAACCGUUAUAACCGGCGAUGUCCGAAUGGGGAAACCCAGUGUGAUUCGUCACACUAUCGUUAACUGAAUACAUAGGUUAACGAGGCGAACCGGGGGAACUGAAACAUCUAAGUACCCCGAGGAAAAGAAAUCAACCGAGAUUCCCCCAGUAGCGGCGAGCGAACGGGGAGCAGCCCAGAGUCUGAAUCAGCUUGUGUGUUAGUGGAACGGUCUGGAAAGUCCGACGGUACAGGGUGAUAGUCCCGUACACCAAAAUGCACAGGCUGUGAACUCGAAGAGUAGGGCGGGACACGUGGUAUCCUGUCUGAAUAUGGGGGGACCAUCCUCCAAGGCUAAAUACUCCUGACUGACCGAUAGUGAACCAGUACCGUGAGGGAAAGGCGAAAAGAACCCCGGCGAGGGGAGUGAAAAAGAACCUGAAACCGUGUACGUACAAGCAGUGGGAGCACCUUCGGGUGUGACUGCGUACCUUUUGUAUAAUGGGUCAGCGACUUAUAUUCUGUAGCAAGGUUAACCGUAUAGGGGAGCCGCAGGGAAACCGAGUCUUAACUGGGCGUUAAGUUGCAGGGUAUAGACCCGAAACCCGGUGAUCUAGCCAUGGGCAGGUUGAAGGUUGGGUAACACUAACUGGAGGACCGAACCGACUAAUGUUGAAAAAUUAGCGGAUGACUUGUGGCUGGGGGUGAAAGGCCAAUCAAACCGGGAGAUAGCUGGUUCUCCCCGAAAGCUAUUUAGGUAGCGCCUCGUGAAUUCAUCUUCGGGGGUAGAGCACUGUUUCGGCUAGGGGGUCAUCCCGACUUACCAACCCGAUGCAAACUACGAAUACCGAAGAAUGUUAUCACGGGAGACACACGGCGGGUGCUAACGUCCGUCGUGAAGAGGGAAACAACCCAGACCGCCAGCUAAGGUCCCAAAGUCAUGGUUAAGUGGGAAACGAUGUGGGAAGGCACAGACAGCCAGGAUGUUGGCUUAGAAGCAGCCAUCAUUUAAAGAAAGCGUAAUAGCUCACUGGUCGAGUCGGCCUGCGCGGAAGAUGUAACGGGGCUAAACCAUGCACCGAAGCUGCGGCAGCGACACUAUGUGUUGUUGGGUAGGGGAGCGUUCUGUAAGCCUGCGAAGGUGACCUGUGAGGGUUGCUGGAGGUAUCAGAAGUGCGAAUGCUGACAUAAGUAACGAUAAAGCGGGUGAAAAGCCCGCUCGCCGGAAGACCAAGGGUUCCUGUCCAACGUUAAUCGGGGCAGGGUGAGUCGACCCCUAAGGCGAGGCCGAAAGGCGUAGUCGAUGGGAAACAGGUUAAUAUUCCUGUACUUGGUGUUACUGCGAAGGGGGGACGGAGAAGGCUAUGUUAGCCGGGCGACGGUUGUCCCGGUUUAAGCAUGUAGGCUGAUUAUCCAGGCAAAUCCGGAUAAUCAAGGCUGAGGUGUGAUGACGAGGCACUACGGUGCUGAAGUAACAAAUGCCCUGCUUCCAGGAAAAGCCUCUAAGCAUCAGGUAACAUCAAAUCGUACCCCAAACCGACACAGGUGGUCAGGUAGAGAAUACCAAGGCGCUUGAGAGAACUCGGGUGAAGGAACUAGGCAAAAUGGUGCCGUAACUUCGGGAGAAGGCACGCUGGUGUGUAGGUGAAGUCCCUGCGGAUGGAGCUGAGACCAGUCGAAGAUACCAGCUGGCUGCAACUGUUUAUUAAAAACACAGCACUGUGCAAACACGAAAGUGGACGUAUACGGUGUGACGCCUGCCCGGUGCCGGAAGGUUAAUUGAUGGGGUUAUCCGUAAGGAGAAGCUCUUGAUCGAAGCCCCGGUAAACGGCGGCCGUAACUAUAACGGUCCUAAGGUAGCGAAAUUCCUUGUCGGGUAAGUUCCGACCUGCACGAAUGGCGUAAUGAUGGCCAGGCUGUCUCCACCCGAGACUCAGUGAAAUUGAACUCGCUGUGAAGAUGCAGUGUACCCGCGGCAAGACGGAAAGACCCCGUGAACCUUUACUAUAGCUUGACACUGAACAUUGAGCCUUGAUGUGUAGGAUAGGUGGGAGGCUUUGAAGCGUGGACGCCAGUCUGCGUGGAGCCAACCUUGAAAUACCACCCUUUAAUGUUUGAUGUUCUAACGUUGGCCCCUGACCGGGGUUGCGGACAGUGUCUGGUGGGUAGUUUGACUGGGGCGGUCUCCUCCCAAAGCGUAACGGAGGAGCACGAAGGUUAGCUAAUCCUGGUCGGACAUCAGGAGGUUAGUGCAAUGGCAUAAGCUAGCUUGACUGCGAGCGUGACGGCGCGAGCAGGUGCGAAAGCAGGUCAUAGUGAUCCGGUGGUUCUGAAUGGAAGGGCCAUCGCUCAACGGAUAAAAGGUACUCCGGGGAUAACAGGCUGAUACCGCCCAAGAGUUCAUAUCGACGGCGGUGUUUGGCACCUCGAUGUCGGCUCAUCACAUCCUGGGGCUGAAGUAGGUCCCAAGGGUAUGGCUGUUCGCCAUUUAAAGUGGUACGCGAGCUGGGUUUAGAACGUCGUGAGACAGUUCGGUCCCUAUCUGCCGUGGGCGCUGGAGAAUUGAGGGGGGCUGCUCCUAGUACGAGAGGACCGGAGUGGACGCAUCACUGGUGUUCGGGUUGUCAUGCCAAUGGCACUGCCCGGUAGCUAAAUGCGGAAGAGAUAAGUGCUGAAAGCAUCUAAGCACGAAACUUGCCCCGAGAUGAGUUCUCCCUGAGACUAUAAGUCUCCUGAAGGAACGUUAAAGACGAUGACGUUGAUAGGCCGGGUGUGUAAGCGCAGCGAUGCGUUGAGCUAACCGGUACUAAUGAACCGUGAGGCUUAACCUU
Molecule: ribosomal RNA, 2900 nt
Filed under: Klebsiella pneumoniae
Lineage: Bacteria; Pseudomonadati; Pseudomonadota; Gammaproteobacteria; Enterobacterales; Enterobacteriaceae
Description: bacterial LSU rRNA
Rfam family: Bacterial large subunit ribosomal RNA
Source: RNAcentral